This 320-nucleotide unclassified non-coding RNA is filed under the name plant metagenome. RNAcentral's name for it is "partial contains 5.8S ribosomal RNA, internal transcribed spacer 2, and large subunit ribosomal RNA". The stretch from base 1 to 105 matches the Rfam family "5.8S ribosomal RNA", at positions 50 to 154 of the family's 154-position model. The record is from RNAcentral.
GAAAUGCGAUAAGUAAUGUGAAUUGCAGAAUUCAGUGAAUCAUCGAAUCUUUGAACGCACAUUGCGCCCGCCAGUAUUCUGGCGGGCAUGCCUGUUCGAGCGUCAUUACAACCCUCAGGCCCCCGGGCCUGGCGUUGGGGAUCGGCGGAAGCCCCCUGCGGGCACAACGCCGUCCCCCAAAUACAGUGGCGGUCCCGCCGCAGCUUCCAUUGCGUAGUAGCUAACACCUCGCAACUGGAGAGCGGCGCGGCCAUGCCGUAAAACACCCAACUUCUGAAUGUUGACCUCGAAUCAGGUAGGAAUACCCGCUGAACUUAAGC